Molecule: long non-coding RNA, 911 nt
Organism: Dendrobium catenatum
Lineage: Eukaryota; Viridiplantae; Streptophyta; Magnoliopsida; Asparagales; Orchidaceae
Exons: 3
Source: RefSeq, a predicted model, not a curated record
ACCUCUUUACAUAUUGUUAUAAUUACAUUUUCAGGAAGCAUCAUUUAAUAUGAAACUUCCAAGACGAAACAUGAUCGUGCAAUUCACAUGCAAUUCCUGUGGUGGAAGAACGCAGCGUAGAGUCAAUAGAGUUGCCUAUGAACGUGGAACAGUGUUCGUUCAGUGUGCAGGAUGCAUGAAGAAUCAUAAGCUUGUGGACAACCUUGGUCUUGUGGUUGAGUAUGACCUCCGAGAAAAUCUUGAUACAGAUUUUGAUGGCACUCUAUAGGCAGAUGAAUGCAAUGCAGCAGGGCUUCUUUGAGCCGUACUCUAAACUUUAUGGAAUUGAAAUAUAGAUUUUCCUCAUCGAUCCCCAAUCAUAAUGUUAAGUCACUAUAAAUGGAGCUUGGUGGUGUUGAAGAUUUUGUGAUUCGCGCUUUAGAAGAAGGCAAGUUUCAGAAUACAUUGAAGAACGAUGAACUUUGUCUCAUUUGCGACCAGUUUUGCCUAGAAUUACAGCUCCUCUUUCUUCAUUCUUCAACACUACGGCUAAGUGCCUAACUAGAUUUUUCCGAACUAUUUUGUUAUCAUAAUUACAUUCAUAAUUAUCCCGUAAGAACAACGGGUCAAAUUGAGCAUAAAUCUCUCUUUACAUGUUCAAAGUAAGCAUGGUUAAGAUCACUUGAUUUCUUCUCAUUAACAUUAAUAAAGCCAUAGGGUUGAAGAAAGUUGUUUAUUGCCGGGGAAGGGGGGUGGAGGUUAUUCUUUGUAAAGUAUAUGACCCAUUAGUAAAGUUUCAUCCAUUGAGAUGAUGAGCUCAUGCUUGUUUGAUGAGUAGUUUGAGUUUAUUUUAUUUUAUUUGAGCAAAGGAGUUGAAUUGUGUAAAAUAUUUUUCAAACUUACCUAUUAAGGUGGCUAGCCUAUUCAGACAA